This 509-nucleotide ribosomal RNA is filed under the name uncultured bacterium. RNAcentral describes it as "bacterial SSU rRNA". It matches the Rfam family "Bacterial small subunit ribosomal RNA", at positions 501 to 1012 of the family's 1533-position model. The record is from RNAcentral.
CUACGUGCCAGCAGCCGCGGUAAUACGGAAGGUCCGGGCGUUAUCCGGAUUUAUUGGGUUUAAAGGGAGUGUAGGCGGUCUGUUAAGCGUGUUGUGAAAAUUAGGUGCUCAACAUUUAACUUGCAGCGCGAACUGGCGGACUUGAGUGCACGCAACGUAUGCGGAAUUCAUGGUGUAGCGGUGAAAUGCUUAGAUAUCAUGACGAACUCCGAUUGCGAAGGCAGCGUACGGGAGUGUUACUGACGCUUAAGCUCGAAGGUGCGGGUAUCGAACAGGAUUAGAUACCCUGGUAGUCCGCACGGUAAACGAUGGAUGCCCGCUGUUAGCGCCUGGCGUUAGCGGCUAAGCGAAAGCAUUAAGCAUCCCACCUGGGGAGUACGCCGGCAACGGUGAAACUCAAAGGAAUUGACGGGGGCCCGCACAAGCGGAGGAACAUGUGGUUUAAUUCGAUGAUACGCGAGGAACCUUACCCGGGCUUGAAUUGCAGACGCAGGAUACAGAGAUGUUGA